Molecule: long non-coding RNA, 469 nt
Organism: Sapajus apella (tufted capuchin)
Lineage: Eukaryota; Metazoa; Chordata; Mammalia; Primates; Cebidae
Exons: 4
Source: RefSeq, a predicted model, not a curated record
AGCUAGUCAAAGGUGAUUAAUUCAUGUGGAUGGAAAAAUAAUACAUGCCAAAAGAAAUUUGAGGAACAAAUUCAGGCUGAGAUAGGUCAGUGAAACACUCCCCCAGUCUUCCUUAAGAAAUGUAGACUGAAUCAGCAUUUACCCUCCCCUGGAAGAAUGCAGGAGCUGCACACUUCUGGGAUCUCAGCAGGGCUUGUGGGAAGAGUGGCACUGGGCUGGAGUCAGGGUUUCCGGGCUGACUCCAGAUUUUCCCCGGCUCUCGUCACCUGUGAUGGCUGAAGAGUAUCUGAAGAUGACAGGCCCCUACUUCCAGUGACAUGAGAUGGUUGGACCCACGGCUGAUUUACUGCCUUAUUCUCAUUCUUUAUGGGGCCAGUUUUAAUGAGCACCCAAGCGGAAAUGCCUUUGACUCUUGGACUGUGAAUAACCAUUAUUAAUACAGGGGGAAGCUGCUUGCCAUGGAACCAUG